CACUUUAAUCCUUUAACAAGUAUCAAUUGGAGGGCAAGUCUGGUGCCAGCAGCCGCGGUAAUUCCAGCUCCAAUAGCGUAUAUUAAAGUUGUUGCAGUUAAAAAGCUCGUAGUUGGUUCUGUGUGCCACACUGUUGGUUUACCGCAUGUCGGUGUAACUGAUAUGUCGUGGGACGUCCUGCCGGUGGUAAUUGCAGACCUCAUGGUAUUGUAAUUGCCUUUAAUUCUCAUCGCGGUGCUCUUUAUUGAGUGUCGAGGUGAGCCGGCACGUUUACCUUGAACAAAUUAGAGUGCUCAAGGCAGGCUAAAUUCUGCUUGAAUAUUUGUGCAUGGAAUAAUGGAACAGGACCUUGGUUCUAUUUUGUUGGUUUUCUGAAUCCAAGGUAAUGAUCAAUAUGGACGGUCGGGGGCAUUCGUAUUGCGGCGUUAGAGGUGAAAUUCUUGGAUCGUCGCAAGACGAACUAGAGCGAAAGCAUUUGCCAAGUACGUCCUAAUUGAUCAAGAACGAAAGUUAGAGGUUCGAAGGCGAUCAGAUACCGCCCUAGUUCUAACCAUAAACGAUGUCAGCCAGCGAUCCGUAGAGUUCUUUGAAUGACUCGACGGGCAGCUUCCGGGAAACCAAUACUUUAGGGUUCC
Molecule: ribosomal RNA, 635 nt
Filed under: Cryptostemma sp. CW-2013b
Lineage: Eukaryota; Metazoa; Arthropoda; Insecta; Hemiptera; Dipsocoridae
Description: bacterial SSU rRNA
Rfam family: Eukaryotic small subunit ribosomal RNA
Source: RNAcentral